RNAcentral lists this non-coding RNA (45 nucleotides) under Schistosoma margrebowiei. Lineage: Eukaryota; Metazoa; Platyhelminthes; Trematoda; Strigeidida; Schistosomatidae. The record is from RNAcentral.
GUCCAGCUGACGAGUCCAAAAUAGAACGAAACGCGUGUUUUGGAU